UACGUAGGGAGCAAGCGUUGUUCGGAUUUACUGGGCGUAAAGGGCGCGUAGGCGGCGCGGUAAGUCACUUGUGAAAUCUCUGAGCUUAACUCAGAACGGCCAAGUGAUACUGCAGUGCUAGAGUGCAGAAAGGGCAAUCGGAAUUCUUGGUGUAGCGGUGAAAUGCGUAGAUAUCAAGAGGAACACCCGAGGCGAAGGCGGGUUGCUAGGCUGACACUGACGCUGAGGCGCGAAAGCCAGGGGAGCAAACGGG
This 253-nucleotide ribosomal RNA is filed under the name uncultured bacterium. RNAcentral describes it as "partial 16S ribosomal RNA". It matches the Rfam family "Bacterial small subunit ribosomal RNA", at positions 524 to 776 of the family's 1533-position model. The record is from RNAcentral.